This 874-nucleotide ribosomal RNA is filed under the name uncultured bacterium. RNAcentral describes it as "bacterial SSU rRNA". It matches the Rfam family "Bacterial small subunit ribosomal RNA", at positions 28 to 895 of the family's 1533-position model. The record is from RNAcentral.
AUUGAACGCUGGCGGCAUGCUUUACACAUGCAAGUCGAACGGCAGCACGGGGGCAACCCUGGUGGCGAGUGGCGAACGGGUGAGUAAUAUAUCGGAACGUACCCGGAAAUGGGGGAUAACGUAGCGAAAGUUACGCUAAUACCGCAUAUGCCCCGAGGGGGAAAGUGGGGGAUCCGCAAGGACCUCACGUUUUCGGAGCGGCCGAUAUCAGAUUAGCUAGUUGGUGGGGUAAAGGCCCACCAAGGCGACGAUCUGUAGCUGGUCUGAGAGGACGACCAGCCACACUGGAACUGAGACACGGUCCAGACUCCUACGGGAGGCAGCAGUGGGGAAUUUUGGACAAUGGGGGCAACCCUGAUCCAGCCAUGCCGCGUGAGUGAAGAAGGCCUUCGGGUUGUAAAGCUCUUUCAGCCGGAAAGAAAACGCACGGGUUAAUAACCUGUGUGGAUGACGGUACCGGAAGAAGAAGCACCGGCUAACUACGUGCCAGCAGCCGCGGUAAUACGUAGGGUGCGAGCGUUAAUCGGAAUUACUGGGCGUAAAGCGUGCGCAGGCGGUUUUGUAAGACAGAUGUGAAAUCCCCGGGCUUAACUUGGGAACUGCAUUUGUGACUGCAAGACUAGAGUGCGGCAGAGGGGGGUAGAAUUCCACGUGUAGCAGUGAAAUGCGUAGAUAUGUGGAGGAAUACCGAUGGCGAAGGCAGCCCCCUGGGUCGACACUGACGCUCAUGCACGAAAGCUGGGGAGCAAACAGGAUUAGAUACCCUGGUAGUCCACGCCCUAAACGAUGUCAACUAGGUGUUGGGGGAGGAGACUUCCUUAGUACCGCAGCUAACGCGUGAAGUUGACCGCCUGGGGAGUACGGCCGCAAGGUG